GAGGAGGUUAGCUCAAUGGUAGAGCAACAGGCUGAAAUACCUGUGGGUUGCCGGUUCGAGUCCGGUACCGCCUCU
This 75-nucleotide transfer RNA is filed under the name Flavonifractor plautii. RNAcentral's name for it is "tRNA-Phe". It matches the Rfam family "tRNA". From Rfam's summary of the family: Transfer RNA (tRNA) molecules are approximately 80 nucleotides in length. Lineage: Bacteria; Bacillati; Bacillota; Clostridia; Eubacteriales; Oscillospiraceae. The record is from RNAcentral. RNAcentral also lists the same sequence under 2 other names.